AUCAGCAGCACUCUUUGACAUAACAUGCACUACAUAUAGAGGACAUCCAACCUAAGAAGUGAAAAGUAAAUAGAAACAUAUCAUAAAAGUGAAAAAACAACUAAUAGAAAACUAAAUAUGGCUUGAUCAAGAAAGGUGCUCACUGGAAGACCAAAUGCAGCAGGCAUCUUCCACUCAGAGGUCUACCUGGAGGUCAUUCUGAGGUUCAAUGCCCUCACAGCACAGUCCUUGACCAGACCUCCUGGUGGCAGUCCUCAGGUCUCAGAUUUUGCUUGAAACACACCUGAUUGGCCAAGACACAAGCUCUGUUGGUUGCCUCUGCCUCGACUUCUUCUGGCCGACUCAACUCAUGACCUUCUGGCCCAGUGAUGCCCAUGGAGAGAAGUUUCCUA
Molecule: non-coding RNA, 392 nt
Organism: Cherax quadricarinatus
Lineage: Eukaryota; Metazoa; Arthropoda; Malacostraca; Decapoda; Parastacidae
Source: RefSeq, a predicted model, not a curated record